AGAGUUUGAUCCUGGCUCAGAAUCAACGCUGGCGGCGNNNUUAACACAUGCAAGUCGAACGAGAAAGGGGAGCAAUCCCUGAGUAAAGUGGCGCACGGGUGAGUAACACGUGGGUAAUCUGCCUCUGGGUGGGGAAUAACUCUGGGAAACCGGAGCUAAUACCGCAUAAGCCUGAAAGGGGAAAGGCGAAAGUCGCCGAGAGAGGAGCCCGCGGUCGAUUAGCUAGUUGGUGGGGUAAAGGCCUACCAAGGCAAUGAUCGAUAGCCGGCCUGAGAGGGCACACGGCCACACUGGCACUGAAACACGGGCCAGACUCCUACGGGAGGCAGCAGUGGGGAAUCUUGCACAAUGGGGGAAACCCUGAUGCAGCGACGCCGCGUGAGCGAUGAAGCCCUUCGGGGUGUAAAGCUCUUUCGGCCCGGACGAUAAUGACGGUACGGGAAGAAGAAGCUGCGGCUAACUACGUGCCAGCAGCCGCGGUAAUACGUAGGCAGCGAGCGUUGUUCGGAGUUACUGGGCGUAAAGAGUGCGUAGGCGGUGGCCCAAGUCUGGUGUGAAAUCUCCCGGCUUAACCGGGAGGGUGCGCCGGAAACUGGGUUGCUGGAGUACUGGAGAGGCAGGCGGAAUUCCUGGUGUAGCGGUGAAAUGCGUAGAUAUCAGGAGGAACGCCCGUGGUGUAGACGGCCUGCUGGACAGUAACUGACGCUGAGGCACGAAAGCGUGGGUAGCAAACAGGAUUAGAUACCCUAGUAGUCC
This 756-nucleotide ribosomal RNA is filed under the name uncultured bacterium. RNAcentral's name for it is "bacterial SSU rRNA". It matches the Rfam family "Bacterial small subunit ribosomal RNA", at positions 8 to 796 of the family's 1533-position model. The record is from RNAcentral.